GGCUCGGUAGUGGAUGGUCCACAUCUGCUUUCCACCACAAGUGUGCGAGCAAACAAUGCAGACAAAGCCUGUUCGCCUCAGGCCCGAGCCA
Molecule: non-coding RNA, 91 nt
Organism: Mycena leptocephala
Lineage: Eukaryota; Fungi; Basidiomycota; Agaricomycetes; Agaricales; Mycenaceae
Source: the annotation of a GenBank genome assembly